CUUUGUCCCUAAAUCACAGUCGGGUUCUGGGAGGGACCUACUCGGUGCUGUGGGCUGGCCGCUGUUCUGCAGUGGAGGACUUUCACUUCCUGCUCCACCCCAGGCCGGGCCUGGGGCGGUGAGUGAGCAAGGGCGCAGACCGAAGCCCAGGGGCGUGGAGGGGCUUGGCGCGGGAGGUGCGGGAUCUACACCGCGAGCGGAGAGCACAUCCUCUUUCUCUACCUGCUCCUCAGGGGUGGUCUUCGGGUUACUGCUCAUCUUUGUGACCCUGUGGCCGCUAAGCCCCCCUAAAGGCCUGGAGCCCCGCUGGGAAGAGCGAGUGUGGGCCUCACCUCGCCGUCGCCGUCCUAUAAUAAACCCAGCGAGCGCCUUGGCUUCGCACAUUGGCGCUUAAUCACAACCCCUAGCGCCUUGAGGCUUCUGGGGUCACGUGCACCCCCACGGAAUUCUAAGGCUCUCUAGAUCCAGAGUGAUUCCCCAGCUGGAGCAGAGGAAAGUGCCAUGGGUCCUGCCACUCCAGAGCUUUGAGGCCAGGAUGAUCCUAAGGGGAAGUCAUCCUAAGACUUUGAGAAUCAGGUGACAAAACUCCAUCAGGACAUUUCUGAAACAACAGAACAGUACAAAACAUCCUCAGGAAGGACCAGUGAAAAUAUUUCUCAGACUCCCAUUUGGGGAGGAAACUGUGAGAGGGCCCUGAAAUUGGAAGGGCCACAUGGGAGCCUCUCAGGAGAGGGCUGGCAGGAGCCCUCUGCCCAGGGGAGGGAUUUGAAUAAGCUCCUGGGUGGGUAUGUGGGGCAGAAGCCUAUGUGCACAGAAUGUGGGAAAAGCUUUAAGGGGAGUUCCUAUCUCAUGAGACACUUAAGGACUCACACUGGCGAGAGACCUUACAGAUAGAUCGAGUGUGGGAAAGGCUUCAAGCAGAGCUCGGACAUUGUCACUCAUGGCAGAACACACACAGGUGAGAAGCCCUACCUAUGCCAAGGGUGUGAGAAGAGGUUCUGUGACAGCUCUGCACCAUCAAACAUCAGAGGACCCCCACAGGGGAAAGCCCUACAAGUGCCCAGAGUAUGGGAAGAGUUUGGGAGGAAGCCACACCUCAUCAUGCGCCAAAGAACACACGGGAGAGAAGCCCUACAGGUGCCUUGAGUGCCAGAAGAGCUUUAGUUAAAGCUCAAAUUUCAUCACCCACCAGAGGAUCCACACUGCGGUGAAGCCUUACAGGUGCAGUGACUGUGAGGGCGGCCAUCCAGAGCUCAGAUUUGAUUAAGCACCCACAAACCCACAGGGGAAUGGCCUUUUCAGUGCCUGGAGCGCAGGAAGGGUUUCCGGGACAGUUCUCAUUUUGUAGCUCACAUGAGCACUCACUAGGGAGAAAGACCUUUCAGUUGUCCCAACUGCCACAAAAGUUUCAAUCAGAGCUCACACUUGUUCAGGCAUCAGCAGAUGCACACAGGUGAGAGAACUUUUAAGUACACCGAGUGUGGGAAAGGAUUUCCUGACAGCUCUGCCCUCGUUAAGCACCCGCGGAUCCACACAGGAGAAAGACCCUACAAGUGUGGCGAGUGUGAGAACAGCUUCAACCAGAGCUCUCACUUCACGACACAUCAAAGUGUUUACUUAGGAGACAAACCCUACAGAUGUCCCAAGUACGACAAGACCUUCCACCAGCAUUCCCUUUUCCUCACAUACCAGAGGACACACACGGGAAAAACCUUUCCACUGCAGUACAUGUGACAAGAGCUUCCAGCAGAAAGCACAUCUUUUGUGCCAUCAGAACACCCAUUUAGUUUAGGAAAUGUUCUUUGGUGGUUUUCUGCUCCCUUCCAAAUUUUCGGUGCCACUGUCUUCAGAUCCCUCAAAGAAAGAAAACCUGAAUAUGGGUAGCUCAAAUCAGAACCCAGUCUCUUCUCUUUUCUGUGUUACAAUGACCAGGACAAACUCAAAGGGCCUACAUAGUGUUCUGAACACAAGACAUUCCUUCAGUGUGAGUCAACCAACUCUUCGGAAAAUUCAAGUUUAAUGGUUGCUGCCUGGCUACUAAGUGAGGGGGAAAGAAGUGUGGCCUACAGAUCACAUGGAAACCAUGUAGGAGGUGCUCAAUAUUGAUGAUUAAUAUGUGAAGGCUUGGGCUGCACAUGUAGCUCAGUAGUAGUGCACUUUCCUGUCAUGCACAAGGCCCUGGGUUUAAUCCCUAGCACUAAAAACAACAACAACAACAAAAAAUGAGGUCAUAUGCAGGGCCUUUAAUGUAGUGCUUGGCCCUUGAAAAGAUACUCAGUCUAAUCUUGGUUGUUUUUAAGCUUAGUUUGUUACUACUCAAUAAGAAAUUUAUAGGCCAGGCAUGGUGGCCCAUGCCUGUAAUCCCAGCACUGGGGAGGCUGAGGCAGG
Molecule: RNA transcript, 2388 nt
Organism: Fukomys damarensis (Damara mole-rat)
Lineage: Eukaryota; Metazoa; Chordata; Mammalia; Rodentia; Bathyergidae
Exons: 3
Source: RefSeq, a predicted model, not a curated record